GCCGAGGGUCCUGGUCCUGUUGGCAGUGAGGAGCCAUGGAGGGGUCCUGGGCCUGGUCAGAGGAGCAGGAGGCUCCAUUCCUCCCGCUGCUUGUGGCCCUGGCUGAGCUUGGAAGAGCUUGGAAGAGGAGUCAGGGUUCUGGGCUCUGCGUCUUUGCAAUGGGGACAGUGACUCCUGCCCCUCCUGGUCCACAGACAAGUGGGCCAGGUGCCUCCUCUUUCCCCUUCCACCCUCCCCCCCAAC
This 243-nucleotide long non-coding RNA is filed under the name Ursus maritimus (polar bear). RNAcentral's name for it is "lncRNA (ENSUMAG00000011933.1)". The record is from RNAcentral. Lineage: Eukaryota; Metazoa; Chordata; Mammalia; Carnivora; Ursidae.